AUUGAACGCUGGCGGCAGGCCUAACACAUGCAAGUCGAGCGAGCGGCGGACGGGUGAGUAAUGUCUGGGAAACUGCCUGAUGGAGGGGGAUAACUACUGGAAACGGUAGCUAAUACCGCAUACCAUCAGAAGUGCCCAGAUGGGAGUAGCUAGUAGGUGGGGUAACGGCUCACCUAGGCGACGAUCCCUAGCUGGGCUGAGAGGAUGACCAGCCCAACUGGAACUGGGACACGGUCCAGACUCCUAUGUGGGGCAGCAGGGGGGAAUAUUGCACAAUGGGCGCAAGCCUGAUGCAGCCAUGACGAGUGUGUGAAGAAGGCCUUCGGGUUGUAAAGCACUUUCAGCGGGGAGGCGUUACCCGCAGAAGAAGCACCGGCUAACUCCGUGCCAGCAGCCGCGGUAAUAC
This 406-nucleotide ribosomal RNA is filed under the name uncultured bacterium. RNAcentral describes it as "partial 16S ribosomal RNA". It matches the Rfam family "Bacterial small subunit ribosomal RNA", at positions 29 to 526 of the family's 1533-position model. The record is from RNAcentral.